ACCGCUUUGAGUCAAGGAUAUUUGCAGCAACUUCUGUUGCUCAUACUUGAAUAAAAGAAGAUCAAUGCUAUUGCGCGACGCAAUCCUUGCCGUCCAUCGAUCUAUCACCUGGCUUGGACUGACCGACUGAGAACCACUCUCGCUGUAGCUUCUCGAAUCUCCCUGCUCAUUCCCCACCUCCACCGUUUUCACAUCUCCUAGCUCAUUCGUUCUCGUGUUGCCUGCUCGACACCGCUCCUCGGCGUGCCUCCUCCAUCUCCUCUCAGCCGGCAGCAGGAAUCGAGCGCUCCUCGCCUGUGAGCACACCUCGAUGAGGUGCGUGAUUCCUAUUCCCCUUGAGGCAGAGGGUGGGUUGGAGAACGCCUCAGCAAGGUACGUGAUUCCCGUUCCCCUUAGAGGCAGGGGGUGGCUUGGAGAGGGAGAAGCCAGCGGGCGAGAGAGCUCGGAGGAGUAGGAGGAAGCGAGGUGCCAAGGCCGCCAGAGGCAGAGAAGAGGAAGCGGCGGGGUAGGGCAUGGUGGUGGGCUGGUGGCGGAAGCUCCGAUAUGCUGACGAUUGGGAAGUGGCGCCGCCCAGAGCUAGGCGCGGCAAGUCCCGAUGAAGUUUCACCAUUCUCGCCAUUCAUUUCGUGCAGCCAUGCCCGCGGUUAGACAUGGGAUGUUGUGUGCUCUGCUUCGUCGAUAUCUUCUCUGAACCUCACAAAGAUGGCCGUCAGCCCUUUCCUCCUCUGUCAAGGUAAGAUACAUCAACAGGGACACACAGGUGUAUACAUAUACUCAUCGCUGCUUAGGGCUUCUAGUUCAAAUCUGCAGAUCCAGUCUACUGCUUACUUCACAUAUCUAUAAUAUACGCAGAUCUAGUGUUCAUUGUUGAUAUGUGUACUUUGCUGGAAAAGGAGAAGAGGAAAAAUAUACACAGAGAUAAAUAAUCAUAGCUAGAAUUCACAUUCACUCAGAAGGGUGAGCAGUCAGGAUGAAUUGUCCAGAAUUCCCCAGCAAGCAGUACACUGUAUAACUCCAGUGUUUCAGUACCAAGUUUAACAAUAUGGCAGUGAUAAAUCAUAAAGACUAAGCAAACUGAAGCCCGAGUCGCUGUUGAUAUCACAUAGUUUAAGUAGAAUAUCCCCUCCCUUCUGGCCAUUUCGUAGGUUGUCUGAUUUGUGAGAGCUCUGCAAAAAAUAGGAGGGGGAAUUUGGAAUUUCAGCCAAACAUGCAUUAGAGACAAAACGUAGUUGCUACUCCCUCCUUUUGGGCAAGGGGUUGAUGCCUUUGUAGGUUGUAACAUUUCCAACAAUCAAUAUAAUGGCCUAUAAUUACUCAAAUUUCAGAUAUGCGUAUGAAGGGCAGUCAUGUGUAACAUUCUGCUUUGGCGUUUGUCCGCUGACCCUCCAUUUGAUAGGUUAAACCCAGUAGCGUGUCUCUUUGGGUCAACUGGCAUUAUUGCUACUAUACUUAAUGUAUAACUCAAUGUAAAUCGAGUUAAAACUUUACUUAAAAUAUAUUUAUAUGUUCAACCAUUAGCAUGUUGCUACAAAUUAUCUUGACAGUAAUGCUUCGACAAAGCUCAUCUACGAUUUUCUCGUCUCUUUUUCUCCAAAUGAAAUGUAAGCAUCUGUUCUCAACUUAAAAACUCAAGAAGGUUAAAAUAAAAAUAUGUUACCACGCCAAACCUCUUUUGAAUAACUUUUUUGAUGAAAACUCUUUUGAAUAAUUUAUAGGCCUUAUUAAAGGAUAGAAAGAAGAAAAUAGCAUCAUUUCAGAUUUGCUAGAAAGAUCAUACCUCACAUCCAUAUGGUCUGAAAACAUUUAAGUUCCGUAUUUCUAAUAGAGCCGCUCUUCCACCAUAAUAAAACUAAUAAACAUCAUAAUGAUUCAUAAGUACCCGGCAGAAGGAAGCUAAAAAGAAAGAAAUAAAGAAGAAAAUACCAUCUAAAAAAAUCAUACCUUAGCUUCGUAUGGUCUGAAAGCUUUUAAUUUCUGUAUUUCUAAUAGCAUCAACCUUCCCCCAAAAACUGAUACCGAUUGUUAGAGUUCCUCUACACCAAAGAGGGGCACUACAACAUAAACAAACCAUUAAUAAUUAUGCCAACUAAUAAUACCUCUUUUACCAGAAUUUCUAAAUUCACGAAAGGAGAGUUACAAGAACCUAGAAGCAAACAGCAGCAAACAUUACAGUUUCUGUUUGCCUAGGUCAUGUGAUAAUUGUCAAUCCAAUAUCCAGUUUUUUCAUGGAAUUGCAACUGUAAAUCCAAUAUCCAGGGAUCCGCAGAAAAGGAAAACAAUCUAGUAAUCAAUGGCGAUUUAACAUAUUUUUGCCAGCCCCAAAAUUCCAUAUUGUUCUAUUUCUGGAGGCAAAUUCUGCUCCUGAUCUCCUCAUGAAAAGUAACCUCAACUCCGGAUCACAUUCAAGCUAAAUCAGUCUCUACGUUGUUCUAUCUAUUCUAGCGAACAAAAUGGAAGCAGAAACAACAAACAAGGCCAACUCACCUGCUGUUUACCUAGUGGGGUGCUGACUAUAGUGUGGUCGGAUGACUGCCUUAAGUUAUAAACCACCUCUCUAGUUAUGGAGGUCCCCCAAAAUACACAUGUCAACUUGAGCCAUUUUCUAAUGUAACCAAGCAACAUAAUCAAAAUUAGAUAAUCAGAAUUGGUUUAGAUUGGAUAACCCAAACCAAUGGCCUUUCCCAUCGUUUGACCUUUCUCUGAAAAGGAUAAUCUAUGUCCUCAUUAUCACUGGCGUGUACUAUCAUACAGCAAUUAGCUACAAUAAAUUGCAACAUCCCAUGACUUAUAGAACAAUGUAGUGGCUCCUGAAUAAUUAAAUUCACUUUUAGUUCUAGUUCUCAGGAAUUAUGCAUCAUUGUAGUGACUUUGCUUCUGAUAAGAAACAAAGAGGCAUACUAAAGCUACUAAGAAAUACCUACAUCCACCUUGGUGGUCUAUAAAGGACAUGGACAAGUGACAACGGUGAACCAGUGAUACAGGUUAAUCAGACCACUAUUGCUAGAAGUGUCACUGCGUUCAAAACAAUAAGGAAAUCUUAACUAAGAAGGAAGAUGUAUCAAUUGGAUAACACCAGUUCAACCUCCUUCUCAAAAAACAAAAACAAAAAUAGAUAACAUCAUCCAGUAUGAGAUCAUCAUCUAGCUAAUACACACAUGCAUCAAGCCCACAGCCCCACGCACCACACAUGCAGCAGCACAUAAGCCGUGCACGCGCACAACCUAGCAGGAGCCAGGGCCGUCGGCAAUCGGCAUAGGGGGCGAUUCUGGUAGUGACAGGACAACAGGGCUCACAGCCAAAAUAGCAAGGAGAAGACAGCCAUCGUGUACUCACCAUCGUACAGAUAACGUCGCGGAUCUACAGGAAGCUUGAGCGACUCCUUGUGAGGGCUUCGGCGCUGACCAGGCCGAGGUGACAUGGACGACAUGGGCUAGAGACGGCGGAUGCCGACGGUAGGCAUAAGGUCGACGCGGCUGCUGCAACCUCGAGGCAAGGACAUCGAUGGGGACGGCAUGCCGCUGCGACCCGAGUUCCGCCACCACUCCCUGUGACCGAGCGUGGGUGGAGGAGAGGCGUAGAGAGGGGAGGUGGGCGGGGAAGGGGUUGCGGCAGCAGGAGGCGGCGGUGGGGAGCGUUGUCUGUUUGGCGACAAAAAGAGAUUGCAAGGACCAUAUAUAGGGGAGAGGCAACCAGAUCUUUUUUCCUCGAGAGACAGCCGGAUCGAUCUAGCAUAUCCGGCAAAAGCGGCAACUGCGCACCGUGGCGAUCGUGGAAGGAACAAGAAGCGAACAGAUGAAACCGGAAAGCCCAGUCAAAGCGGCAGAGAUGACCAGAACGUGCAAAACGCUUCCCUAGUAAAAAAAAGCUCACGUACAGGAAUAGCCCAGUCACACGCGUCAAAUUAACAAGAGUGGUAAAAAAAAUUCCAGAAAAACCAGAAAAAUGGAACCCUUACGGGCCUAGUCUUCUAUAUAUAUAUUGAAAGCACCAUCCCAGACUCCACGUUAAUCCUAAUAAACUAAACAAAUUGUCCGUUUAAUCUUGACGUUAAUUAUCUAGAUCCGUCGGAUGAGGUACCUUAAGAGUCCUAGGUUGUAACCCCACGUGCACUUAUUUUAGGAAAAAAACAUCUCCCUAAUCCUGCCGCCGCACGCUCGAGGAAGGUAGCAUGACUUGCUGCGCCAGGAGUGGCUACCAGUUCCGGUUAUUAUGCAUCACCGUGAGGCAUACACCGCCGUUUGCUGCCGCUCCGUGUGUGACUAAGUGCGAAGGUGCCAGACUACAGAUUCCUUGAAGGGGCAUCGAGAUCUAGAAUCGAAAUUUUCUCCAGCUUUUACCGUCAACAUAUCUGCUGAAGGUUCUAGACGUACAAGAGGAUGGCAAAGAUUAUCUGGAAUUCUGGAUGCAGAAGACAAGCGGUACAUACUUCCACCGUGGCUGCUGCUAGGGUCGAUGCCAUAUUGCCGGAGAGUCAUAGUGACAGCUACCCAUCAACCAUCAUCCAUCUCUAUUAACAGCGAGUUCGAUCGGCAGAAAAAUCACACCUCCCGGAUCCUCCUCCGAUUGAUUCCUGCAAUAUCAAGGCAAGGGCGGAGAAGCGUCUGCUCCGUUGCCUUUGGCCUCUCCCAUGUGUCUACUAUUUAUGCAAGAACUGUCUGAUUGGCCUAGGAAGCAAUACCCCAGGCCUAGGAAGCAAUACCACAGGUGGCCCAGCGCUCUAUACAUCAUGGCCAUGGACGCAACUUGGAGUCCCGGACUGUUGUUCCACCACAAGAUCUGCUUCCGUCAAGUUCAAUAGGGU
Triticum urartu is the source of this 4801-nucleotide non-coding RNA. The record is from RefSeq and is a predicted model, not a curated record. NCBI's taxonomy places the organism in Eukaryota, Viridiplantae, Streptophyta, Magnoliopsida, Poales, Poaceae.